Molecule: small RNA, 779 nt
Filed under: Danio rerio (zebrafish)
Lineage: Eukaryota; Metazoa; Chordata; Actinopteri; Cypriniformes; Danionidae
Description: ottdart00000002276
Source: RNAcentral
AUAUUGAGAAGAUGUACUGCUGUAAAUCAAGACUACCAGUUUGUGAGCUGAUAUGCAGUGGAAAUUGACAUCCAGAAGGAAGUCAUAGAGGAAACACCAGCUGAUGCAAGUGCUGCAGAAGAAUUCAAUCGAAUAUCAGGAAGAAAUGUCAUCUGGCAGCAGUUCUCCGGGGUCUUUCAGUCCUUUAGAGGGAUGAGUCUAAAGAAAUUUUCAGGAUGUGUUUUGAUGUAAUUGUAGAGUCGGACUUCAGUGCAGAAGAUGUUGGCCUGCUGACUGUCGUGUGUGAAGAUGUCUAAAGAACCUCAUUAUGGAUGCAAUGUGGGCCUUUAUACUGGAAGGAAAAGUGGAUAUGGACUUUGCCACAUGCAGUAUGUCUCUUUUUUUGCUUUGAUUUACACACUGAAUUCGGACUACCCAAAGACUUUGAGCAAUGCAUUUGAAUUUGUUCAACGUGUGUUGCUUUUGCUGGGAGGGAAGCGUAAUGUGUUUUAUUCGGCGAGUGCCUAUAUACUGCUGUGCUUUAUGUUUAAAGGUUCAGGUAUAAUGGCAUGUUUAAUUACAAAGUGUUGCUUUUUAACAUGUUGCUGUUUGCAGUGUUACAUUUAGGACUGCAGCAUUUUGGUGUUUAAAACACUUUUUUUUUUUUUUUUUUACCAAAAAAGUGUAUUGUGAUUUAUAGGGUUGUCAAAAGUAUUGAGUUUGGUACCAAUCUGUACUGAAAUAAAUAAAUAAAAAGUCCAUCCAUUUCCCACUAACAUUGCAAGAACUGAUUGGCCAUU